UUUUAACCCUGAUCUCGUCAUUGUUGGAGCUCUUAACUUAUUGAUUAAAUAAGUUAAAGCGACUGACGAGAGCAGGAACAUGG
This 83-nucleotide small RNA is filed under the name Flavobacterium dankookense. RNAcentral describes it as "Flavo-1 RNA". The record is from RNAcentral. Lineage: Bacteria; Pseudomonadati; Bacteroidota; Flavobacteriia; Flavobacteriales; Flavobacteriaceae.